RNAcentral lists this ribosomal RNA (460 nucleotides) under uncultured bacterium. RNAcentral's name for it is "partial 16S ribosomal RNA". It matches the Rfam family "Bacterial small subunit ribosomal RNA", at positions 338 to 795 of the family's 1533-position model. The record is from RNAcentral.
CCUACGGGUGGCAGCAGUGAGGAAUAUUGGUCAAUGGGCGUAAGCCUGAACCAGCAAAGCCGCGUGAGGGAUGAAGGUUCUCUGGAUCGUAAACCUCUUUUAUAAGGGAAUAAAGUGUGGCACGUGUCCUCUUUUGUAUGUACCUUAUGAAUAAGGAUAGGCCAACUCCGCGCCAGCAGCCGCGGUAAUACGGAGGAUCCGAGCGUUAUCCGGAUUUAUUGGGUUUAAAGGGUGUGUAGGCGGCCUUUUAAGUCAGCGGUGAAAGUCUGUGGCUCAACCAUAGAAUUGCUGUUGAUACUGGGGGGCUUGAGUGUGUUAGAGGCAGGCGGAAUGCGUGGUGUAGCGGUGAAAUGCGUAGAUAUCACGCAGAACACCGAUGGCGAAGGCAGCCUGCCGGGCCGUGACUGACGCUGAGGCACGAAAGCGUGGGGAUCAAACAGGAUUAGAUACCCUUGUAGUC